RNAcentral lists this ribosomal RNA (430 nucleotides) under uncultured bacterium. RNAcentral describes it as "partial 16S ribosomal RNA". It matches the Rfam family "Bacterial small subunit ribosomal RNA", at positions 355 to 779 of the family's 1533-position model. The record is from RNAcentral.
UGGGGAAUUUUGGACAAUGGGCGCAAGCCUGAUCCAGCCAUGCCGCGUGCGGGAAGAAGGCCUUCGGGUUGUAAACCGCUUUUGUCAGGGAAGAAAUCUUCUGAGUUAAUACCUCGGGAGGAUGACGGUACCUGAAGAAUAAGCACCGGCUAACUACGUGCCAGCAGCCGCGGUAAUACGUAGGGUGCAAGCGUUAAUCGGAAUUACCGGCGUAAAGCGUGCGCAGGCGGUUUUGUAAGACAGAGGUGAAAUCCCCGGGCUCAACCUGGGAACUGCCUUUGUGACUGCAAGGCUUGAGUGCGGCAGAGGGGAUGGAAUUCCGCGUGUAGCAGUGAAAUGCGUAGAUAUGCGGAGGAACACCGAUGGCGAAGGCAAUCCCCUGGGCCUGCACUGACGCUCAUGCNCGAAAGCGUGGGGAGCAAACAGGAUU